AGAGUUUGAUCAUGGCUCAGGACGAACGCUGGCGGCGUGCUUAACACAUGCAAGUCGAACGAGAAUCUGCGGAUCGAGGAUUCGUCCAAGUGAAGCAGAGGACAGUGGCGGACGGGUGAGUAACGCGUGAGGAACCUGCCUUUCAGAGGGGGACAACAGUUGGAAACGACUGCUAAUACCGCAUGAUACGUAUUGGGGGCAUCCCUGAGACGUCAAAGAUUUAUCGCUGAAAGAUGGCCUCGCGUCUGAUUAGCUGGUUGGUGAGGUAACGGCCCACCAAGGCGACGAUCAGUAGCCGGACUGAGAGGUUGACCGGCCACAUUGGGACUGAGAUACGGCCCAGACUCCUACGGGAGGCAGCAGUGGGGAAUAUUGGGCAAUGGGCGCAAGCCUGACCCAGCAACGCCGCGUGAAGGAAGAAGGCUUUCGGGUUGUAAACUUCUUUUAAGAGGGAAGAGCAGAAGACUGUACCUCUAGAAUAAGCCACGGCUAACUACGUGCCAGCAGCCGCGGUAAUACGUAGGUGGCAAGCGUUGUCCGGAUUUACUGGGUGUAAAGGGCGUGCAGCCGGGAAUGCAAGUCAGAUGUGAAAUCCAUGGGCUUAACCCAUGAACUGCAUUUGAAACUGUAUUUCUUGAGUACUGGAGAGGCAAUCGGAAUUCCUAGUGUAGCGGUGAAAUGCGUAGAUAUUAGGAGGAACACCAGUGGCGAAGGCGGAUUGCUGGACAGCAACUGACGGUGAGGCGCGAAAGUGUGGGGAGCAAACAGGAUUAGAUACCCUGGUAGUCCACACUGUAAACGGUGAAUACUAGGUGUGCGGGGACUGACCCCCUGCGUGCCGCAGUUAACACAAUAAGUAUUCCACCUGGGGAGUACGAUCGCAAGGUUGAAACUCAAAGGAAUUGACGGGGGCCCGCACAAGCGGUGGAUUAUGUGGUUUAAUUCGAAGCAACGCGAAGAACCUUACCAAGUCUUGACAUCCCUUGACAGGCAUAGAAAUAUGUUUUCUCUUCGGAGCAAGGAGACAGGUGGUGCAUGGUUGUCGUCAGCUCGUGUCGUGAGAUGUUGGGUUAAGUCCCGCAACGAGCGCAACCCUUAUGGUUAGUUACUACGCAAGAGGACUCUGGCCAGACUGCCGUUGACAAAACGGAGGAAGGUGGGGAUGACGUCAAAUCAUCAUGCCCUUUAUGACUUGGGCUACACACGUACUACAAUGGCGUUAAACAAAGAGAAGCGAGACCGCGAGGUGGAGCAAAACUCAGAAACAACGUCCCAGUUCGGACUGCAGGCUGCAACUCGCCUGCACGAAGUCGGAAUUGCUAGUAAUCGUGGACCAGCAUGCCACGGUGAAUACGUUCCCGGGCCUUGUACACACCGCCCGUCACACCAUGAGAGCCGGGGGGACCCGAAGUCGGUAGUCUAACCGCAAGGAGGACGCCGCCGAAGGUAAAACUGGUGAUUGGGGUGAAGUCGUAACAAGGUA
This 1483-nucleotide ribosomal RNA is filed under the name metagenome. Its description in RNAcentral is "bacterial SSU rRNA". It matches the Rfam family "Bacterial small subunit ribosomal RNA". The record is from RNAcentral.